UACGAAGGGGGCUAGCGUUGUUCGGAAUCACUGGGCGUAAAGCGCACGCAGGCGGAUUGAUAAGUCAGGGGUGAAAUCCCGGGGCUCAACCUCGGAACUGCCUUUGAUACUGCAAAUCUCGAGUCCGAUAGAGGUGGGUGGAAUUCCUAGUGUAGAGGUGAAAUUCGUAGAUAUUAGGAAGAACACCGGUGGCGAAGGCGGCCCACUGGAUCGGUACUGACGCUGAGGUGCGAAAGCGUGGGGAGCAAACAGG
Molecule: ribosomal RNA, 253 nt
Filed under: uncultured bacterium
Lineage: Bacteria
Description: partial 16S ribosomal RNA
Rfam family: Bacterial small subunit ribosomal RNA
Source: RNAcentral